AGUGAACGCUGGCGGUAGGCCUAACACAUGUAAGUCGAACGGCAGCACAGUAAGAGCUUGCUCUUACGGGUGGCGAGUGGCGGACGGGUGAGGAAUACAUCGGAAUCUACUUUUUCGUGGGGGAUAACGUAGGGAAACUUACGCGAAUACCGCAUACGACCUACGGGUGAAAGCAGGGGAUCUUCGGACCUUGCGCGAUUGAAUGAGCCGAUGUCGGAUUAGCUAGUUGGCGGGGUAAAGGCCCACCAAGGCGACGAUCCGUAGCUGGUCUGAGAGGAUGAUCAGCCACACUGGAACUGAGCCACGCUCCAGACUCCUACGGGAGGCAGCAGUGGGGAAUAUUGGACAAUGGGCGCAAGCCUGAUCCAGCCAUACCGCGUGGGUGAAGAAGGCCUUCGGGUUGUAAAGCCCUUUUGUUGGGAAAGAAAAGCAGCAGGUUAAUACCCCGCUGUUCUGACGGUACCCAAAGAAUAAGCACCGGCUAACUUCGUG
RNAcentral lists this ribosomal RNA (492 nucleotides) under uncultured bacterium. Its description in RNAcentral is "partial 16S ribosomal RNA". It matches the Rfam family "Bacterial small subunit ribosomal RNA", at positions 29 to 507 of the family's 1533-position model. The record is from RNAcentral.